This 233-nucleotide unclassified non-coding RNA is filed under the name Paraglomus occultum. Its description in RNAcentral is "partial internal transcribed spacer 2". The record is from RNAcentral. Lineage: Eukaryota; Fungi; Glomeromycota; Glomeromycetes; Paraglomerales; Paraglomeraceae.
GUGAAUCAUCGAAUUUUUGAACGCAAAUUGCGCCUUUUUCGAAUGGCGUGUCUAUUUGAGUUCACCAUUUAACAAAUAAUUUGCAGCGGUUUUUGUUGCACACGUUGAUGAGCUUUCCAAGAAUUUUAAAUUUUUGGUUGCGGAUAAGGAACAGCGUGAUGCUUUUGUUGCAGUGCGAGUGUGGUAAAUUCUUUGCUUGAGUUGUGAAAAACGUAAUUGCGCAAUGGGUGUGG